This 253-nucleotide ribosomal RNA is filed under the name uncultured prokaryote. RNAcentral describes it as "partial 16S ribosomal RNA". It matches the Rfam family "Bacterial small subunit ribosomal RNA", at positions 524 to 776 of the family's 1533-position model. The record is from RNAcentral.
UACGGAGGGUGCGAGCGUUGUCCGGAAUCAUUGGGCGUAAAGGGCGCGUAGGUGGCGUGGUAAGUCUGUGGUGAAAGCGCGGGGCUCAACCCCGCGUCGGCCGUGGAUACUGCUAUGCUAGAGCACUGUAGAGGCAGGCGGAAUUCCGGGUGUAGCGGUGGAAUGCGUAGAGAUCCGGAAGAACACCAGGGGCGAAGGCGGCCUGCUGGGCAGUUGCUGACACUGAGGCGCGACAGCGUGGGGAGCAAACAGG